This is a regulatory RNA element of Chryseobacterium sp. Leaf180, 34 nucleotides long. It matches the Rfam family "DUF805b RNA". Rfam says of the family: Bacteroidetes, Chlorobi (1 example), Proteobacteria. Lineage (Flavobacteria) NCBI's taxonomy places the organism in Bacteria, Pseudomonadati, Bacteroidota, Flavobacteriia, Flavobacteriales, Weeksellaceae. The record is from Rfam.
AAGGAGUUCGCCGAAAAUCCUGAAAGAGUAGGCA